AGCAGCUCUGCAGUAUAAAAAGCAUUGCCAUACCCCAAACUGCUGGCCUGUGUUCAUCCCUGUGCUGUGGAUCCUGUGGCCAGAGCACAGUGGCUGCCUGAUGGAGAAAGCUGUGUUACUCAGUGAUUAAAAUGCAUGGUCUGGCCACUGGAAAAUGGAAAAAGCAGUUGCAAGGAGGCAAAGCACAUUCUGUAUUCCCUCUAUGUGGGUCAGAUAUUUUCCUAGGGACACUCAGAAAUGCCUGUGCUCUGCUAUUUCUGCUGGGUACUUUAUCCUUUAUUCUCUUGUUAUUGAAAGAGCUAAAUGUUUUCCCACUUUCCAAUGUACCAUGACAAUACAAACUGUACGGUGAUGUCGGAGCACAAAAUAAAUAUGGAUGCAGAUACUUGU
This is a non-coding RNA of Cyanistes caeruleus (blue tit), 390 nucleotides long. NCBI's taxonomy places the organism in Eukaryota, Metazoa, Chordata, Aves, Passeriformes, Paridae. The record is from RefSeq and is a predicted model, not a curated record.